CAUAUAGAGAGAGAGUUGCGACAACUCCAUAGACUCCAAUGGAACGGUUUUUUACAGCAAUGGCGGCUCGUGGAGCCUCUCAAUAGUUCCCGGAAGUAGCAGCCGCGCCGUAGAGUUACAGCAGAACAGACCGUUUGUGAUGUACUUUUAAAAGCACAAAGGGGAUUCAGAUCCUGAAGACUCCAUGCAAUGAUGCUGUCACCGCCAGUCUCUGCUCCUUGGAUUUUGCAAGCUUUUCCUUGCUCCUUAUUUUUAAUAAACCUUUAAUAAACAUAAAA
Megalobrama amblycephala (Wuchang bream) is the source of this 278-nucleotide long non-coding RNA. RefSeq lists it as uncharacterized. The transcript is spliced from 2 exons. The record is from RefSeq and is a predicted model, not a curated record. Lineage: Eukaryota; Metazoa; Chordata; Actinopteri; Cypriniformes; Xenocyprididae.